RNAcentral lists this ribosomal RNA (687 nucleotides) under Halosaccharopolyspora lacisalsi. RNAcentral's name for it is "bacterial SSU rRNA". It matches the Rfam family "Bacterial small subunit ribosomal RNA", at positions 86 to 778 of the family's 1533-position model. RNAcentral also lists the same sequence under 1 other name. Lineage: Bacteria; Bacillati; Actinomycetota; Actinomycetes; Pseudonocardiales; Pseudonocardiaceae. The record is from RNAcentral.
GGUGGAUGAGUGGCGAACGGGUGAGUAACACGUGGGUAAUCUGCCCUGUACUCGGGGAUAAGCCUUGGAAACGAGGUCUAAUACCGGAUAGGACAUCUGGCCGCAUGGUCUGGGUGUGGAAAGUUCCGGCGGUAUGGGAUGAGCCCGCGGCCUAUCAGCUGGAUGGUGGGGUAAUGGCCUGCCAUGGCGACGACGGGUAGCCGGCCUGAGAGGGUGAUCGGCCACACUGGGACUGAGACACGGCCCAGACUCCUACGGGAGGCAGCAGUGGGGAAUCUUGCGCAAUGGGCGAAAGCCUGACGCAGCAACGCCGCGUGAGGGAGGACGGCCUUCGGGUUGUAAACCUCUUUCGACACCGACGAAGGCCCCGUGUGGGUGUGACGGUAGGUGUAGAAGAAGCACCGGCUAACUACGUGCCAGCAGCCGCGGUAAUACGUAGGGUGCGAGCGUUGUCCGGAUUUAUUGGGCGUAAAGAGCUCGUAGGCGGUUUGUCGCGUCGGCCGUGGAAACCUGCCGCUUAACGGUGGGCGUGCGGUCGAUACGGGCAAACUUGAGUUCGGUAGGGGAGACUGGAAUUCCUGGUGUAGCGGUGAAAUGCGCAGAUAUCAGGAGGAACACCGGUGGCGAAGGCGGGUCUCUGGGCCGAUACUGACGCUGAGGAGCGAAAGCGUGGGGAGCGAACAGGAU